Molecule: ribosomal RNA, 510 nt
Filed under: uncultured bacterium
Lineage: Bacteria
Description: partial 16S ribosomal RNA
Rfam family: Bacterial small subunit ribosomal RNA
Source: RNAcentral
GACGAACGCUGGCGGCGUGCUUAACACAUGCAAGUCGAACGAAGAGCGAUGGAAGCUUGCUUCUAUCAAUCUUAGUGGCGAACGGGUGAGUAACGCGUAAUCAACCUGCCCUUCAGAGGGGGACAACAGUUGGAAACGACUGCUAAUACCGCAUACGAUCUAAUCUCGGCAUCGAGGAUAGAUGAAAGGUGGCCUCUACAUGUAAGCUAUCACUGAAGGAGGGGAUUGCGUCUGAUUAGCUAGUUGGAGGGGUAACGGCCCACCAAGGCGAUGAUCAGUAGCCGGUCUGAGAGGAUGAACGGCCGCAUUGGGACUGAGACACGGCCCAGACUCCUACGGGAGGCAGCAGUGGGGAAUCUUCCGCAAUGGACGAAAGUCUGACGGAGCAACGCCGCGUGAGUGAUGACGGCCUUCGGGUUGUAAAGCUCUGUUAAUCGGGACGAAAGGCCUUCUUGCGAAUAGUGAGAAGGAUUGACGGUACCGGAAUAGAAAGCCACGGCUAACUACGUG